Molecule: long non-coding RNA, 285 nt
Organism: Homo sapiens (human)
Lineage: Eukaryota; Metazoa; Chordata; Mammalia; Primates; Hominidae
Exons: 3
Source: RefSeq, a predicted model, not a curated record
UCAGGACUUCCACUCCUUAUUCCAAAGAGGCUGAGUUAUGCAACCCCCUCUUGCAAAUGAAUAGCUGUCACUAGCAUUAUGCGUUAGCCAGACCCGCAUGGAAAGACUCUUCUAACAAGCAGUCUCAGCCAGUCACAGGAGCCAAACUUCAGUCAACCACAGGCAGUCAAAUGUUCAAACCAGGUCAAAUAAGCCUUCUGGGGCUGAUUUGGUCGCAGGCAGCAGAGCAGUUGAAGAAGCAAAUUAGUAAAUGGUAGCAGAACAGAAUCUGUUCCAAGCACACAU